AGCUUUGAGCAGUGGCAGUAUCGUAGCCAAUGAGGUUUAUCCGAGGCAUGAUUAUUGCUAAUUGAAAACUUUUACUAAUACCCCACCAUGAUGACUUGAAAAAUAGUUGGCAUUGGCAAUUUUUGACAUUCUCUGUGGAGA
Aotus nancymaae (Ma's night monkey) is the source of this 141-nucleotide small nuclear RNA. Its record names the gene U4. It matches the Rfam family "U4 spliceosomal RNA". Rfam says of the family: U4 small nuclear RNA (U4 snRNA) is a component of the major U2-dependent spliceosome. The structure of U4 snRNA from yeast and human has been reported. Lineage: Eukaryota; Metazoa; Chordata; Mammalia; Primates; Aotidae. The record is from Ensembl.